RNAcentral lists this ribosomal RNA (676 nucleotides) under uncultured Enterobacteriaceae bacterium. RNAcentral's name for it is "bacterial SSU rRNA". It matches the Rfam family "Bacterial small subunit ribosomal RNA", at positions 210 to 884 of the family's 1533-position model. The record is from RNAcentral. Lineage: Bacteria; Pseudomonadati; Pseudomonadota; Gammaproteobacteria; Enterobacterales; Enterobacteriaceae.
UUCGCAUGCCAUUUGAUGAACCCAUAUGGGAUUAGCUAGUAGGUAGGGUAAAGGCCUACCUAGGCGACGAUCUCUAGCUGGUCUGAGAGGAUGACCAGCCACACUGGAACUGAGACACGGUCCAGACUCCUACGGGAGGCAGCAGUGGGGAAUAUUGCACAAUGGGGGAAACCCUGAUGCAGCCAUGCCGCGUGUAUGAAGAAGGCCUUAGGGUUGUAAAGUACUUUCGGUAAUGAGGAAGGUAACUAUUAACAUAGUUAAUUGACGUUAAUUACAGAAGAAGCACCGGCUAACUCCGUGCCAGCAGCCGCGGUAAUACGGAGGGUGCGAGCGUUAAUCGGAAUGACUGGGCGUAAAGGGCAUGUAGGCGGAUGAUUAAGUUAGGUGUGAAAGCCCCGGGCUCAACCUGGGAAUUGCACUUAAAACUGGUUAUCUAGAGUAUUGUAGAGGAAGGUAGAAUUCCACGUGUAGCGGUGAAAUGCGUAGAGAUGUGGAGGAAUACCGGUGGCGAAGGCGGCCUUCUGGACAAUACUGACGCUGAGAUGCGAAAGCGUGGGGAGCAAACAGGAUUAGAUACCCUGGUAGUCCACGCUGUAAACGAUGUCGAUUUGGAGUUUGGGGGCAUGACCCUUGGGCUCCGGAGCUAACGCGUUAAAUCGACCGCCUGGGGAGUACG